CUCUCCCAAGCUUCACAGAAAGUUUCAUUGUUUUUUUGGUUGAAACCUGAGAUCUCGUUCCUCAAUCUAGUGGUGCAAGCGUUAGAGAAGAACUUGGCAAGAAAAGCUUUCUUACAAUCGUCCCAUGAGGUGAUGGAGUCUGAGGGUAGAGUCUUCUCCCAGUGGUGUGCCUUGUCUCCCACAG
Molecule: small RNA, 184 nt
Filed under: Arabidopsis thaliana (thale cress)
Lineage: Eukaryota; Viridiplantae; Streptophyta; Magnoliopsida; Brassicales; Brassicaceae
Description: ATSL092330
Rfam family: Plant small nucleolar RNA R71 (bases 1-68)
Source: RNAcentral